Molecule: ribosomal RNA, 88 nt
Filed under: Oxyloma retusum
Lineage: Eukaryota; Metazoa; Mollusca; Gastropoda; Stylommatophora; Succineidae
Also listed under: 1 other name
Description: partial 5.8S ribosomal RNA
Rfam family: 5.8S ribosomal RNA
About the family: 5.8S ribosomal RNA (5.8S rRNA) is a component of the large subunit of the eukaryotic ribosome.
Source: RNAcentral
UGGAAUUGCAGAACACAUUGAACAUCGACACCUUGAACGCACAUGGCGGCCUCGGGUCCAUCCCGGGGCCACGCCCGUCUGAGGGUCG